GACGAACGCUGGCGGCGUGCUUAACACAUGCAAGUCGAACGGAAAGGCCCUGCUUUUGUGGGGUGCUCGAAUGGCGAACGGAUGAGUAACACGUGAGUAACCUGCCCUUGACUUUGGGAUAACUUCAGGAAACUGGGGCUAAUACCGGAUAGGAGCUCCUGCUGCAUGGUGGGGGUUGGAAAGUUUCGGCGGUUGGGGAUGGACUCGCGGCUUAUCAGCUUGUUGGUGGGGUAGUGGCUUACCAAGGCUUUGACGGGUAGCCGGCCUGAGAGGGUGACCGGCCACAUUGGGACUGAGAUACGGCCCAGACUCCUACGGGAGGCAGCAGUGGGGAAUAUUGCACAAUGGGCGGAAGCCUGAUGCAGCAACGCCGCGUGCGGGAUGACGGCCUUCGGGUUGUUAACCGCUUUCGCCUGUGACGAAGCGUGAGUGACGGUAAUGGGUAAAGAAGCACCGGCUAACUACGUG
RNAcentral lists this ribosomal RNA (468 nucleotides) under uncultured bacterium. Its description in RNAcentral is "partial 16S ribosomal RNA". It matches the Rfam family "Bacterial small subunit ribosomal RNA", at positions 28 to 507 of the family's 1533-position model. The record is from RNAcentral.